UUGGAUAUAACUGAAAGACACGGGUAGUGAGAUAUGGAUUUUUCAUCUCUAUAUUCGUGUCUUUCAUAUUUAUUCACG
This 78-nucleotide microRNA precursor is filed under the name Schmidtea mediterranea. RNAcentral's name for it is "microRNA sme-mir-71a precursor (sme-mir-71a-2)". Its record names the gene sme-mir-71a-2. The stretch from base 12 to 65 matches the Rfam family "mir-71 microRNA precursor family", at positions 1 to 59 of the family's 73-position model. The record is from miRBase by way of RNAcentral. Lineage: Eukaryota; Metazoa; Platyhelminthes; Tricladida; Dugesiidae.